UGGGGAAUAUUGCACAAUGGGCGAAAGCCUGAUGCAGCAACGCCGCGUGAGGGAAGACGGUUUUCGGAUUGUAAACCUUUGUCCUCAGUGAAGAUAAUGACGGUAGCUGAGGAGGAAGCCACGGCUAACUACGUGCCAGCAGCCGCGGUAAUACGUAGGUGGCAAGCGUUGUCCGGAAUUACUGGGUGUAAAGGGAGCGCAGGCGGGAGAGCAAGUCAGUGGUGAAAUGCAUGGGCUUAACCCAUGAACUGCCAUUGAAACUGUUUUUCUUGAGUGGAUCAGAGGCAAGCGGAAUUCCGAGUGUAGCGGUGAAAUGCGUAGAUAUUCGGAGGAACACCAGUGGCGAAGGCGGCUUGCUGGGGUCUAACUGACGCUGAGGCUCGAAAGUGUGGGGAGCAAACAGGA
Molecule: ribosomal RNA, 405 nt
Filed under: uncultured bacterium
Lineage: Bacteria
Description: bacterial SSU rRNA
Rfam family: Bacterial small subunit ribosomal RNA
Source: RNAcentral